This 778-nucleotide ribosomal RNA is filed under the name uncultured Neocallimastigales. Its description in RNAcentral is "partial large subunit ribosomal RNA". It matches the Rfam family "Eukaryotic large subunit ribosomal RNA", at positions 20 to 644 of the family's 3401-position model. Lineage: Eukaryota; Fungi; Neocallimastigomycota; Neocallimastigomycetes; Neocallimastigales. The record is from RNAcentral.
CAUCACUACGCUAGAUGCAUAUCAAUAAGCGGAGGAAAAGAAACUAACAAGGAUUCCCCUAGUAACGGCGAGUGAAGCGGGAAGAGCUCAAAUUUGAAAUCUUAAAGGGUUUCCCUUUACGAAUUGUAGUUUAAAGAAGUGUUUUCUGUUGGAGUUUCGGUAAAAGUUCUUUGGAAUAGGACAUCAUAGAGGGUGAGAAUCCCGUAUUUGACCGUUACUUUCCAGCUGUGUGAUACACUUUCAAAGAGUCGGAUUGUUUGGGAAUGCAGUCCAAAAUGGGUGGUGAAUUUCAUCUAAAGCUAAAUAUUGGCGAGAGACCGAUAGCGAACAAGUACCGUGAGGGAAAGAUGAAAAGAACUUUGAAAAGAGAGUUAAACAGUACUUGAAAUUGUCAAAAGGGAAGCGUUUGACACCAGUGUUGUUUAGUUGAAAAUCAAUUCAAUAGUUUUUGAUUCUAAGUAGUAUUGACUUCAUCAGCUUGCUGCUUUUCUUCUCAGAAAUUAUUGAAUGCACUUUUCAGUUAACAAGUCAACAUCAAUUUCUUUUGUUGUAAAAGGGUAAGAGGAAGGUGGCUUGCGCUUCGGCUCAAGUGUUUAUAGCCUUUUAUCUCCUGCAAUCGGAGAGAUUGAGGUCUGCAGCGUAGAUCCUUCGGGGUUAGAUACAUUGGUGCUAAGCUAUAGUUCUUGUAUAGACAACUUGUUGACUAUGAUCAGUCAUGUAGCUUACUCGCUGAUGCUAUUUUACCUACGCUUAGGAUGUUGAAGAUAUGCGCGACACG